This 489-nucleotide ribosomal RNA is filed under the name uncultured bacterium. Its description in RNAcentral is "partial 16S ribosomal RNA". It matches the Rfam family "Bacterial small subunit ribosomal RNA", at positions 30 to 506 of the family's 1533-position model. The record is from RNAcentral.
AUUGAACGCUGGCGGCAGGCCUAACACAUGCAAGUCGAGCGGCAGCGGAAAGUAGCUUGCUACUUUGCCGGCGAGCGGCGGACGGGUGAGUAAUGUCUGGGAAACUGCCUGAUGGAGGGGGAUAACUACUGGAAACGGUAGCUAAUACCGCAUAACGUCGCAAGACCAAAGAGGGGGACCUUCGGGCCUCUUGCCAUCAGAUGUGCCCAGAUGGGAUUAGCUAGUAGGUGGGGUAACGGCUCACCUAGGCGACGAUCCCUAGCUGGUCUGAGAGGAUGACCAGCCACACUGGAACUGAGACACGGUCCAGACUCCUACGGGAGGCAGCAGUGGGGAAUAUUGCACAAUGGGCGCAAGCCUGAUGCAGCCAUGCCGCGUGUAUGAAGAAGGCCUUCGGGUUGUAAAGUACUUUCAGCGGGGAGGAAGGUGUUGAGGUUAAUAACCGCAGCAAUUGACGUUACCCGCAGAAGAAGCACCGGCUAACUCCGU